UACGGAGGAUCCGAGCGUUAUCCGGAAUUACUGGGUGUAAAGGGAGCGCAGGCGGGAGAACAAGUUGGAAGUGAAAUCCAUGGGCUCAACCCAUGAACUGCUUUCAAAACUGUUUUUCUUGAGUAGUGCAGAGGUAGGCGGAAUUCCUAGUGUAGCGGUGAAAUGCGUAGAUAUUAGGAGGAACACCAGUGGCGAAGGCGGCCUGCUGGACUGUUACUGACACUGAGGCACGAAAGCGUGGGGAGCAAACAGG
This 253-nucleotide ribosomal RNA is filed under the name Faecalibacterium prausnitzii. Its description in RNAcentral is "partial 16S ribosomal RNA". It matches the Rfam family "Bacterial small subunit ribosomal RNA", at positions 524 to 776 of the family's 1533-position model. The record is from RNAcentral. Lineage: Bacteria; Bacillati; Bacillota; Clostridia; Eubacteriales; Oscillospiraceae.